CUCAAGUAUUUUUGGGAAGUGUUUACGCUCGUGACAUCAUGCUAGGUUCUGCCAUAGGCUUGCCUAUCUUCUAUUGUCUCUCCCUUUAGUCAAAGUUCUAGGUGCAUCUCAUUAGGUCUUUCAUGGGUUGUAACGUGGCUUAAGGCAUAAGGUGAGAAUUUUUGGUACGAGGCUAAGGUCAUUCUGAACUUCAUUCUGGGCAAUAGACUUCCCAGAUUUUUUAAGAUCCUUGCUUAUUCUUGCGGGCCUAAGCACAUACUAACCAAGACAUUACUCUUUUUUUUAUUUUAUUUUCUUUUUCCCUUUUUUUCUGGACUUUUUCUUUAUUUUGGGAUUAGAUGUCCCAUUUUACAAUUUUUGCACUAAUCCUGCCCAUAGGAUUCACUACACUAUCUCCCUUUUUUUUGCCCUCAAGUUCAGUUUGACCGGGACGGCUCAAAUCUAGGCAAAUUUAUAAGUGAAUUCAAAUGAAUUAUUAAGCUCAAAAGGGCUCACAAGUGAUAGAUGUAGGGUUAGUCAGUUUGGCUUUGUGGGCUAAAGAAAGAAUUGCCUAAAUCAUUUAACACACCUAGACUAUGUACACUGGGUUCGACUAAGAAUCAAGGCA
This 607-nucleotide long non-coding RNA is filed under the name Salvia miltiorrhiza (redroot sage). RNAcentral's name for it is "long non-coding RNA (SMIL_LNC013188)". Lineage: Eukaryota; Viridiplantae; Streptophyta; Magnoliopsida; Lamiales; Lamiaceae. The record is from RNAcentral.